UCAUCUAUAAACCAUUGUUUUGAUUAGUAGAUUAACUGUUUGGUGUAUAAAUUGUAAGAAAAUAGUGAAAAAAAGUCCUAAAAUUUCUUAUUUCGUCUGACAAAAACAGUUAAAAACUGCAAAUCAUCUUAAUUUAGAAACUGGAAUAUUUGGUAUUGUUGCUUGAAAAAACAACUUAUUAUCACCACGGAGUCUGGCACAUCAGCCGCCGUGUUGUGCUGAACGUAACGGCUGUGAAACAUUCAAUAACUUCAUGAGGCUGCCGCUCACUCACUCUCAUUCACUGUCUUUGUCUCUUGACCAGUGUUUGCACAGAUUUAGAAGCUGGGUUCAUGAAAUAAAACAAAGCCAGAACACAACAGGUCGAGUGUCGUAGUCUAGUCCAUGAAUCCACCUGGAUCACUCAGUUUCAGAGACGUUUCAGGCUGAGUGUGGAGGAGUUUGGACCCGUCUUAUUGCCUGAUUGGUGUCCACAUCGAGACAUUGGGUGUCCAAAAGUUGGACUUGGCUUAACUUCAGCUGGAUUCUGUCUGAAUGUGCUCUUAACUUUGUGAUGGCAAAAAAAGUUGAGAUGAAAAUAAAUCUAAAAAAAAAAAAAGCUUUGGAGCAAAAACAAACUAAAUGAGUCCAAAUUAAAGAAGAGAAGAAACGUUUCCAAUGCUUGUGAUGAGCUUGUUGUGGUCGUACUAUCGGGGUCACGUUGUGUUGCGUGGAAGUUUUACUGAUUCAAAGAUGGUGAUAACACGACUUUUAAGCCACCCAAACAUCUAUAAAGAGAGUUUUACAGUCCAACAUCACAAUGGAUGAACUCUUAUAAGUGCAGAAGGAUUAGAAAAGCAAUAUUUAUAUUCGAGAAUAAGAGUUAUAAAAUCAGAGGGACUACUGAAACAAACAUCCCAGGGCUUGCUUCAAAUUCACAGAUAACUCUCCUGGUCAAUUUAAAGAUGAUGUAGGUUUAUUAUUCGUCGUGCCCCAGCUUGAAUUAUUUAAACGUUUGUUUCUGGUGUCUUAUGUUUGGGUAUCUGUUUGUCCGUAAAUACAACAAUAUCCAAGUCACUGCUGAGGAGAAAGAAGCUAGGUUAAUUAAACGCUUUGUCGCUGAAGUUGGGAGAAAGAAAAAACAGAGUAUCGAAAGAACAUAAGCUCUGUGAUUGUAGCUUUUGCCAAAAUGCAAAAAAAUUGGGGUCGUGUUUAACUUUCCUCCUGAGCGAGGCUUGCACCUUUUUGACUUCUUAUCAAAGAACCAAAUAUUUCCACUCAGCGUUUUUUCUUUAAAGCCCCUCGAGACAAAUUUGUGAUUUUUGGACUUUAACUCACUUAAGUCAAGUCAGGUUAAUCUUAUUUAUAAUUAUUUUUAUUCAGAGUUGUGUAGAUUUAAAGUUCUGCAGUGUUUUUAUUUCCGUGUGCGUCCUUGAGAAAUAAUCUGCUGCUUUUUAAGAGUUUGAAGGACAAACUCUUCCUUUCCUCCUGUCUCGCUGCUCUCCGAGAUCAGAGGUCUGCUAUGAAACAGCCUUUUUCUGGAGUUUGUAGGGAUUCAGUGUCUUGCCCAAGGACACCUCGGUGGGGUGGCUGCUUGCUGUCACAGGUCCAGGUCUCUUGCAGAAGGAGUCACGCUAAUAACGUCUCCGGCAUACUGCCUCAUAAUACUGUAAAUAACUUUUUUUUUUUUUCUCCACUCUCUCCACUUGUGUGUAAAUGUCAUGAGUUGUGAUUGACGCUGUGCGUCCUCUCUGGCCAAGACAGUGUGGCAUUGUGUG
Molecule: long non-coding RNA, 1757 nt
Organism: Larimichthys crocea (large yellow croaker)
Lineage: Eukaryota; Metazoa; Chordata; Actinopteri; Sciaenidae
Exons: 2
Source: RefSeq, a predicted model, not a curated record